UAAUACGGGGGGAGCAAGCGUUGUUCGGAUUCAUUGGGCGUAAAGGGCGCGUAGGCGGCCUGGUAAGUCUGACAUGAAAUGUACCGGUUCAACCGGGGCACUGUGUCGGAAACUGCUUGGCUUGAGGUCGAGGGAGGAAAGUGGAAUUCCUGGUGUAGCGGUGAAAUGCGUAGAUAUCAGGAGGAACACCCGUGGCGAAGGCGGCUUUCUAUCUCGAUUCUGACGCUGAGGCGCGAAAGCUAGGGGAGCAAACGGGAUUAGAUACCCCGGUAGUCCUAGCCGUAAACGAUGAACACUAGGUGUGGGAGGUAUCGACCCCUUCCGUGCCGCAGCUAACGCAUUAAGUGUUCCGCCUGGGGAGUACGGCCGCAAGGUUG
This 377-nucleotide ribosomal RNA is filed under the name uncultured bacterium. Its description in RNAcentral is "bacterial SSU rRNA". It matches the Rfam family "Bacterial small subunit ribosomal RNA", at positions 521 to 896 of the family's 1533-position model. The record is from RNAcentral.